GAGUUUGAUCAUGGCUCAGAUUGAACGCUGGCGGCAGGCUUAACACAUGCAAGUCGAACGAUGAUUACUAGCUUGCUAGUAUGAUUAGUGGCGAACGGGUGAGUAAUGCUUAGGAAUCUGCCUAUUAGUGGGGGACAACAUUCCGAAAGGAAUGCUAAUACCGCAUNCGUCCUACGGGAGAAAGCAGGGGAUCUUUUGACCUUGCGCUAAUAGAUGAGCCUAAGUCGGAUUAGCUAGUUGGUGGGGUAAAGGCCUACCAAGGCGACGAUCUGUAGCUGGUCUGAGAGGAUGAUCAGCCACACUGGGACUGAGACACGGCCCAGACUCCUACGGGAGGCAGCAGUGGGGAAUAUUGGACAAUGGGCGAAAGCCUGAUCCAGCCAUGCCGCGUGUGUGAAGAAGGCCUUUUGGUUGUAAAGCACUUUAAGUGGGGAGGAAAAGCUAAUAAUUAAUACCUAUUAGCCCUGACG
This 470-nucleotide ribosomal RNA is filed under the name Moraxella sp. canine oral taxon 017. RNAcentral describes it as "bacterial SSU rRNA". It matches the Rfam family "Bacterial small subunit ribosomal RNA", at positions 9 to 474 of the family's 1533-position model. The record is from RNAcentral. Lineage: Bacteria; Pseudomonadati; Pseudomonadota; Gammaproteobacteria; Moraxellales; Moraxellaceae.